ACCCAACUUCCUCAAAACCAAAACAAAACACAGAAACACACGCAUAGUCAAAAAUAAGAAGAAAUCUUUCUUCCUCAUGGAAGACCUUUAAACUACUCAUGGCAAGAUAUGAAAAGGUCCUCAUUUCUGUGAACUGUUUGGUUGGUGUCUUAGUCACUCUUCUCUUUUGUUUUUGUUUUUGUUUUUGUUUUUCGAGACAGGGUUUCCCCGUGUAGUCCUGGCUGUCCUGGAACUCACUUUGUAGACCAGGCUGGCCUCGAACUCAGAAAUCUGCCUGCCUCUGCCUCCUGAGUGCUGGGACUAAAGGUGUGUGCCACCACGCCCAGCUCUUCUCUUGCUGUGAUAAUCCACCAUGACCGAGGCACCUUACAGAAGGAAGAGUAUGAUUGAGGCUUAUAAUUUCAGGCAGGUAGGUGCCCAUGAUUGUGAUGGCAGGGAGCAGGGCAGCAGGCAGGCAAACACUGCACUGUUAGCGACAACUGUAGCUCACAUCUGACCCACACACAGAAAAGCAGAGAGAGCCACUAGAGAUGGCAGGAGGCUUUUGAAACCUCUAGCCCACUCCCAGGAACACAUGACACACGAGGCUACACCUCCUAACCCUUCCCAAACAGCCACCAGCUGGGGACCAAGUAUUCAAAUCUAUGAGGCUAUGGGGCCAUUCAAGUUCAAAUCACCACAGUGGGCAAGUUCGCACAGUACCUUCUAUUUUCUUACAGUGACUUUUUUUUUUUGAGGUGCAAGGGUCCCCGAGGUGCACACUUGGGAAUAGAGCUAGCUUUCCUUCCAAUGCUCGCUGGACUCGGGUCAGCAGUGACGAGGUAGGGUUGGGCAAGCACACUGCUCAACCAUGUUUCAAAUUUUUAACUAUUGAGCUGCAGAGUUCAGUGGUAAUGUUCUUGCCUAGUGUGCCUGAGGCCCCGUGUUCUAUCCCAAACCCAAGGGAAUGGGGAAACGAGGUUGUCUUAAUUAGAAUUUAUUGCUAUAAAGAGACACCAUGAGCAUGGCAGCUGUUAUAAAGGAGAACGUCUAAUUGGGGCUGGCUUACAGUUUCAGAGAUUCCGUCCAUUAUCAUCAUGGCAAGGAAGUAUGACAGCCUGCAGGCAGACAUGGUGCUGGAGAUGCUGAGAGUUCUACAUCUUGAUCCACAGGCAACAGAAGGACUGUGGUCAACACUGGAGGUAACUUGAGCAUAUAUAAAACCUCAAGGGCUGGUGAGAUGGCUCAGUGGGUAAGAGCACCCGACUGCUCUUCCGAAGGUCCAGAGUUCAAAUCCCAGCAACCACAUGGUGGCUCACAACCAUCCGUAACGAGAUCUAACUCCCUCUUCUGGAGUGUCUGAAGACAGCUACAGUGUACUUACAUAUAAUAAUAAAUAAAUCUUUAAAAAAAAAAAAAACUCAAAGUCCGCCUCAACAGUAAAACACUUUCUCCAACAAGGCCACACCUAAUAGUGCCACUCCCUAUGGGCCAGGUGUUCAAACCCAUGAGUCUAUGGGGACCAUAGCAAUUCAAACCACCACAGGCUGCCUGCUAGACUUUACCCAAGGGGACAAACAGCAUUUCAGUGUUAGUUUGCUGAGCCUCACGGUGACUGUGACUUAGGUCUAUGGCAGCUGCAGUCCCAGAGCAUCCCACAGAAAGGUAGGACAUUCCCCAAGGGACACUCAACUCCUGGGCUGGGGACAGUGUCCCCUGGGACCUGUGUGAUCUGUGGCCUGUCAGCCAGCAUGUGUGGAGCAGAAAGCUGUGACAAAAGCCUACGCCCCGUGUGUAUGAGUUCAAGAGGCUACACACUCUGUACCCUUUUAGCCCCAAACAAAUAGAAAUGAGUUUCUCCAAUAACCU
This 1848-nucleotide long non-coding RNA is filed under the name Mus musculus (house mouse). Its description in RNAcentral is "long non-coding RNA chr15:79850383-79852231". The record is from RNAcentral. Lineage: Eukaryota; Metazoa; Chordata; Mammalia; Rodentia; Muridae.